GACUGGGGACUGGCAUAGGAGGCCGAGUGAGUAUCAGCUGGAGAAGAUGCAAUCGCACCUUAUGUUCCCAUCUAGUUUGGAGAACAGCCCAAGGAGUUUUUCAGGCUCUAGACCUCAAGAUCCUUCUUACCUCUCCGCAGAAUCAACUUCUUUCUCUGACAAGGGAGAAAGGCAAGGAGAGGAGGGAGGCUUUGCUACUCUCUCCUGAUACCUAGAAAAUCUUUCUGGAGCCAAAGGGCUCUGAGUUGAGUUUGCAAGAGGGGAGGACAAAGAAGGGAGUGUGUGAUGAUUUUAAGCAUAAAGGGGAUGAUGUGGGAGAAUUUUGGAAUUUUUUUUAGGGAAGUGGCUGUUCAAGGGAAGAACUCUAUUGUCCAAGGAGAGAAAAGGCUGGGACUGGUCCAUCAGUGAAGAGCACUUUUUGCCCAUUAUCUUCUCCCCAUAAAGGAUCCACUCUUGGAAGCGCCCCCUGGGGCCUUGGAACAUGAAGAUGGCUCAGAUGCCCAUAAUUCCAGUGAGGCCUCUCCUUGAUUGGGACACAAGGAGCUGAAAUUCAUUAUGUGAAUGAGUGAGAGAUGGGUGUUUAUACUCUGCAAAUGAAAGAGAGUGUAUGGGUAUGGGAGGACUGUGUGUGAGACAGGGAGUUCAAGCUUACAAAGGCCCUGUGUGUUUGAGCGUUCAAAGAGGGCCUAUAAUUAAAGAGAAACGCAGACAACCAACAGCAAUGAUAAGUCAUUUAUUUGGGG
RNAcentral lists this long non-coding RNA (743 nucleotides) under Homo sapiens (human). RNAcentral's name for it is "HSALNT0183447". Lineage: Eukaryota; Metazoa; Chordata; Mammalia; Primates; Hominidae. The record is from RNAcentral.